GACGAACGCUGGCGGCGUGCCUAAUACAUGCAAGUAGAACGCUGAAGGAGGAGCUUGCUCUUCUGGAUGAGUUGCGAACGGGUGAGUAACGCGUAGGUAACCUGCCUGGUAGCGGGGGAUAACUAUUGGAAACGAUAGCUAAUACCGCAUAACAGUAGAUGUUGCAUGACAUUUACUUAAAAGGUGCAAUUGCAUCACUACCAGAUGGACCUGCGUUGUAUUAGCUAGUUGGUGGGGUAACGGCUCACCAAGGCGACGAUACAUAGCCGACCUGAGAGGGUGAUCGGCCACACUGGGACUGAGACACGGCCCAGACUCCUACGGGAGGCAGCAGUAGGGAAUCUUCGGCAAUGGACGGAAGUCUGACCGAGCAACGCCGCGUGAGUGAAGAAGGUUUUCGGAUCGUAAAGCUCUGUUGUAAGAGAAGAACGAGUGUGAGAGUGGAAAGUUCACACUGUAACGGUAUCUUACCAGAAAGGGACGGCUAACUACGUG
This 495-nucleotide ribosomal RNA is filed under the name uncultured bacterium. RNAcentral describes it as "partial 16S ribosomal RNA". It matches the Rfam family "Bacterial small subunit ribosomal RNA", at positions 28 to 507 of the family's 1533-position model. The record is from RNAcentral.